This 253-nucleotide ribosomal RNA is filed under the name uncultured bacterium. Its description in RNAcentral is "partial 16S ribosomal RNA". It matches the Rfam family "Bacterial small subunit ribosomal RNA", at positions 524 to 776 of the family's 1533-position model. The record is from RNAcentral.
UACGAAGGGGGCUAGCGUUGUUCGGAAUUACUGGGCGUAAAGGGUGCGUAGGCGGCCUGUUAAGUCGAACGUGAAAUCCCCGGGCUCAACCCGGGAACUGCGUCCGAUACUGGCAGGCUUGAAUCCGGGAGAGGGAUGCGGAAUUCCAGGUGUAGCGGUGAAAUGCGUAGAUAUCUGGAGGAACACCGGUGGCGAAGGCGGCAUCCUGGACCGGCAUUGACGCUGAGGCGCGAAAGCCAGGGGAGCAAACGGG